RNAcentral lists this transfer RNA (89 nucleotides) under Erysipelotrichia bacterium. RNAcentral describes it as "tRNA-Ser". It matches the Rfam family "tRNA". Rfam says of the family: Transfer RNA (tRNA) molecules are approximately 80 nucleotides in length. Their secondary structure includes four short double-helical elements and three loops (D, anti-codon, and T loops). Further hydrogen bonds mediate the characteristic L-shaped molecular structure. tRNAs have two regions of fundamental functional importance: the anti-codon, which is responsible for specific mRNA codon recognition, and the 3' end, to which the tRNAs corresponding amino acid is attached (by aminoacyl-tRNA synthetases). tRNAs cope with the degeneracy of the genetic code in two manners: having more than one tRNA (with a specific anti-codon) for a particular amino acid; and 'wobble' base-pairing, i.e. permitting non-standard base-pairing at the 3rd anti-codon position. The record is from RNAcentral. RNAcentral also lists the same sequence under 1 other name. Lineage: Bacteria; Bacillati; Bacillota; Erysipelotrichia.
GGAGAAAUACCCAAGCGGCUCAAGGGGACGGUCUCGAAAACCGUUAGGAGGUCACACUCGCGUGGGUUCGAAACCCACUUUCUCCGCCA